Molecule: unclassified non-coding RNA, 2291 nt
Filed under: Haliotis rufescens (red abalone)
Lineage: Eukaryota; Metazoa; Mollusca; Gastropoda; Lepetellida; Haliotidae
Description: uncharacterized LOC124127269, transcript variant X1
Source: RNAcentral
AGUCAGCUCUGACACACUAGAAUCGGUAAAUCUUGAAAAGGAUCGAAUAGAAAGAAGCUUUCAGGGGACAGAUUUUACGAAAGGAUGAUGACAACGUUGAAACACGUUACCACCUUAGUCCUCGUGCUUGGCCUCUUUUGUGUCAGAGUUAGUCGUAGUAUAGAUUCUGCUGCACGGCAUGCACAUGAACGGAAUAAUUCAAGCCCAGAGACGCCCCGCGCUCCAUUACAAAGACAUCACACAUACACAAACAGGAAACGUCAGGACAGGAGCAGAUACACCGAUGUGCAAAGGACAGGUGGGGGAGGUAUGAACCAGAGCUCCCAGAUUGCAUACACCUCUAUUGUACCGUUGAUAGCUGUUCUCGGAAUCCUGACAGUUCUGAUAAUGGCUAUCAAGCAAAGAUCGUUAUUGGUAAAAGUGCAUAACAUUGUGCACCGUGUGGAGCAAGGGUCCCGAAUAUACAGCUCAUUGACAACUGCACGUCAGCUCAGUUGCCCCCACAGUUACACAGCUGUGCGUUUCACAGUUGCUGAUCCAGAUAUCACCGACUCAAGACCACAUAGUUAUGUUGAUAUGUCACAGCCUUUGCAACGGAUGUAGAUAAACUCCCCAUACAAGAGGAAGCAAGUUGGGUGCACACUUUGGAGAACCAAUAAGCACAGGCAUGGUGCUUAAAAACCAAGGAUUGUUAUCGGGGGAAUCUGAAACGAAACCACGAAUCUUGCAAACGAGCACUGGCCGGGUCACCAGUGCCCCAUUAACAAAGGUUCAGACGAUGUGUUCCUUUACACACUGAUCACACCGUCUGAACCCCCUUCUUAAUGGGGCAAAGAAGGUUCAGACGAUGUGUUCCUUUACAGACUGAUCACACCGUCUGAACCCCCUUCUUAAUGGGGCAAAGAAGGGUUCAGACGAUGUGUUCCUUUACAGACUGAUCACACCGUCUGAACCCCCUUCUUAAUGGGGCAAAGAAGGUUCAGACGAUGUGUUCCUUUACACACUGGUCACAUCGUCUAAACCUCAUUCUUAAUGGGGCAAAGAAGGUUCAGACGAUGUGUUCCCUUACACACUGAUCACACCGUCUGAACCCCCUUCUUUAUGGGGCAAAGAAGGGUCAGACGAUGUGUUCCUUUACACACUGGUCACAUCGUCUAAACCCCCUUCUUAAUGGGGCAAAGAAGGUUCAGACGAUGUGUUCCCUUACACACUGAUCACACCGUCUAAACCUCCUUAUUAAUGGGGCAAAGAAGGUUCAGACGAUGUGUUCCCUUACACACUGAUCACACCGUCUGAACCCCCUUCAUAAUGGGCCCGGGGGCACAGAAGGUUCAGACGAUGUGUUCCCUUACACACUGGUCACAUCGUCUGAACCUCCUUCAUAAUGGGCCCGGGGGCAAAGAAGGUUCAGACGAUGUGUUCCUUUACACACUGAUCAGACCGUCUGAACCCCCUUCUUAAUUGGGCAAAGAAGGUUCAGACGAUGUGUUCCUUUACACACUGGUCACAUCGUCUAAACCCCCUUCUUAAUGGGGCAAAGAAGGUUCAGACGAUGUGUUCCUUUACAGACUGAUCACACCGUCUGAACCCCCUUCUUAAUUGGGCAAAGAAGGUUCAGACGAUGUGUUCCUUUACACACUGGUCACAUCGUCUAAACCCCCUUCUUAAUGGGGGCAAAGAAGGGUCAGACGAUGUGUUCCUUUACACACUGGUCACAUCGUCUAAACCCCCUUCUUAAUGGGGGCAAAGAAGGGUCAGACGAUGUGUUCCUUUACACACUGAUCACACCGUCUGAACCCCCGUCUUAAUUGGGCAAAGAAGGGUCAGACGAUGUGUUCCUUUACACACUGAUCACACCGUCUGAACCCCCGUCUUAAUGGGGGCAAAGAAGGGUCAGACGAUGUGUUCCUUUACACACUGGUCACAUCGUCUAAACCUCCUUCAUAAUGGGCCCGGGGGCAAAGAAGGGUCAGACGAUGUGUUCCUUUACACACUGGGCACAUCGUCUAAACCUCCUUCAUAGUGGGCCCGGGGGCAAAGAAGGGUCAGACGACGUGUUCCUUUACAGACUGACCACAUCGUCUAAACCUCCUUCUUAAUGGGCGCAAAGAAGGUUCAGACGAUGUGUUCCUUUACACACAGAUCACAUCGUCUAAACCUCCUAAAUGGGGACAAAACGAUAUAGAUUAUUUUGUCAUUUUAUUAUUUGAACUUUAUUUGGAAUGAUCAUUUGUAAUGCUUUAUGAAGUUAUCAUUGUACAAAAUUACUCAAAAUGUAUUAUAAUCUGUCA